Molecule: ribosomal RNA, 207 nt
Filed under: uncultured bacterium
Lineage: Bacteria
Description: partial 16S ribosomal RNA
Rfam family: Bacterial small subunit ribosomal RNA
Source: RNAcentral
UAAUACGUAGGGGGCUAGCGUUGUCCGGAAUCAUUGGGCGUAAAGAGCGUGUAGGCGGCCAGAUAGGUCGGUUGUGAAAACUGGAGGCUUAACCUUCAGACGUCGAUCGAAACCAUCUGGCUAGAGUCCGGAAGAGGAGAAUGGAAUUCCUGGUGUAGCGGUGAAAUGCGCAGAUAUCAGGAAGAACACCCGUGGCGAAGGCGGUUC